ACUCCUACGGGAGGCAGCAGUGGGGAAUAUUGCACAAUGGGCGCAAGCCUGAUGCAGCCAUGCCGCGUGUAUGAAGAAGGCCUUCGGGUUGUAAAGUACUUUCAGCAGUGAGGAAGGUGGUGUCGUUAAUAGCGGCAUCAUUUGACGUUAGCUGCAGAAGAAGCACCGGCUAACUCCGUGCCAGCAGCCGCGGUAAUACGGAGGGUGCGAGCGUUAAUCGGAAUUACUGGGCGUAAAGCGCAUGCAGGUGGUUUGUUAAGUCAGAUGUGAAAGCCCGGGGCUCAACCUCGGAAUUGCAUUUGAAACUGGCAGACUAGAGUACUGUAGAGGGGGGUAGAAUUUCAGGUGUAGCGGUGAAAUGCGUAGAGAUCUGAAGGAAUACCGGUGGCGAAGGCGGCCCCCUGGACAGAUACUGACACUCGAGAUGCGAAAGCGUGGGGAGCAAACAGGAUUAGAUACCCUGGUAGGAUAGCG
This 474-nucleotide ribosomal RNA is filed under the name uncultured bacterium. Its description in RNAcentral is "bacterial SSU rRNA". It matches the Rfam family "Bacterial small subunit ribosomal RNA", at positions 335 to 799 of the family's 1533-position model. The record is from RNAcentral.